Molecule: ribosomal RNA, 244 nt
Filed under: uncultured bacterium
Lineage: Bacteria
Description: partial 16S ribosomal RNA
Rfam family: Bacterial small subunit ribosomal RNA
Source: RNAcentral
UGGCGACCGGCGCACGGGUGCGUAACGCGUAUGCAACCUACCCAUAACAGGGGGAUAACACUGAGAAAUUGGUACUAAUACCCCAUAACAUCAGGGCCGGCAUCGGUUCUGGUUGAAAACUCCGGUGGUUAUGGAUGGGCAUGCGUUGUAUUAGCUGGUUGGUGAGGUAACGGCUCACCAAGGCAACGAUACAUAGGGGGACUGAGAGGUUAACCCCCCACAUUGGUACUGAGACACGGACCAA